This 528-nucleotide ribosomal RNA is filed under the name uncultured organism. RNAcentral's name for it is "bacterial SSU rRNA". It matches the Rfam family "Bacterial small subunit ribosomal RNA", at positions 34 to 594 of the family's 1533-position model. The record is from RNAcentral.
CGCUAGCGGUAGGCAUAACACAUGCAAGUCGUGCGGAAACAGUUCGGCUGUCGAGCGGCGAACGGCUGAGUAACACGUUGGUACCUGCCUCAAACUCAGGGAUAAGCCCGAGAAAUCGGGUCUAAUACCGGAUAGUCCUCGCUCUGCGAGGUAAAGCUUCGGCGGUUUGAGAGGGACCUGCGGCGUAUCAGGUAGUUGGUAAGGUAACGGCUUACCAAGCCAUUGACGCGUAGCUGGUGUGAGAGCAUGACCAGCCAGAAUGGGACUGAGACACGGCCCAUACUCCUACGGGAGGCAGCCAGUGAAGGAAUCUUCCGCAAUGGACGAAAGUCUGACGGAGCCAUACCGCGUGCAGGAUGACGCCUUUCGGGGCGUAAACUGCUUUCCUGAAGGAAGAAGUUCUGACGGUACUUCAGGAAUCAAGGGUCGGCUACUUACGUGCCACCAGCCGCGGUAAUACGUAGGACCAAAGCGUUAUCCGGAAUUACUGGGCGUCAAGCGAUCGAAGGUGGAUUAGUAAGUCAGGUG